CAGUAGCCGCGGGAAUACGUAGGGUGCAAGCGUUAAUCGGAAUUACUGGGCGUAAAGCGUGCGCAGGCGGUUGUGUAAGACAGGUGUGAAAUCCCCGGGCUUAACCUGGGAAUUGCAUUUGUGACUGCACGACUAGAGUGUGUCAGAGGGGGGUGGAAUUCCACGUGUAGCAGUGAAAUGCGUAGAUAUGUGGAGGAACACCAAUGGCGAAGGCAGCCCCCUGGGAUAACACUGACGCUCAUGCACGAAAGCGAGGGGAGCAAACAGGAUUAGAUACCCCUGUAGUCCCUGUCUCUUAUAC
Molecule: ribosomal RNA, 301 nt
Filed under: uncultured bacterium
Lineage: Bacteria
Description: partial 16S ribosomal RNA
Rfam family: Bacterial small subunit ribosomal RNA
Source: RNAcentral